UGGGGAAUAUUGGACAAUGGGCGCAAGCCUGAUCCAGCAAUGCCGCGUGAGUGAUGAAGGCCCUUUAGGGGUUGUAAAAGCUCUUUCGCACGCGACGAUGAUGACGGUAGCGUGAGAAGAAGCCCCGGCUAACUUCGUGCCAGCAGCCGCGGUAAUACGAAGGGGGCUAGCGUUGUUCGGAAUUACUGGGCGUAAAGGGCGCGUAGGCGGCCUGUUUAGUCAGAAGUGAAAGCCCCGGGCUCAACCUGGGAAUAGCUUUUGAUACUGGCAGGCUUGAGUUCCGGAGAGGAUGGUGGAAUUCCCAGUGUAGAGGUGAAAUUCGUAGAUAUUGGGAAGAACACCGGUGGCGAAGGCGGCCAUCUGGACGGACACUGACGCUGAGGCGCGAAAGCGUGGGGGAGCAAACAGGAUUAGAUACCCCUGGUAGUCCACGCCGUAAACGAUGAAUGCUAGACGUCGGGGUGCAUGCACUUCGGUGUCGCCGCUAACGCAUUAAGCAUUCCGCCUGGGGAGUACGG
Molecule: ribosomal RNA, 518 nt
Filed under: uncultured bacterium
Lineage: Bacteria
Description: partial 16S ribosomal RNA
Rfam family: Bacterial small subunit ribosomal RNA
Source: RNAcentral